CGUCAACCCUUGUCCUUAGUUACCAGCACGUUAUGUGGGCACUCUAAGGAGACUGCCGGUGGCAAACCGGAGGAAGGUGGGGAUGACGUCAAGUCAUCAUGGCCCUUACGGCCUGGGCUACACACGUGCUACAAUGGUCGGUACAAAGGGUUGCCAAGCCGCGAGGUGGAGCUAAUCCCAUAAAACCGAUCGUAGUCCGGAUCGCAGUCUGCAACUCGACUGCGUGAAGUCGGAAUCGCUAGUAAUCGUGAAUCAGAAUGUCACGGUGAAUACGUUCCCGGGCCUU
This 286-nucleotide ribosomal RNA is filed under the name uncultured Pseudomonas sp. RNAcentral's name for it is "partial 16S ribosomal RNA". It matches the Rfam family "Bacterial small subunit ribosomal RNA", at positions 1096 to 1382 of the family's 1533-position model. The record is from RNAcentral. Lineage: Bacteria; Pseudomonadati; Pseudomonadota; Gammaproteobacteria; Pseudomonadales; Pseudomonadaceae.